UUCUCCAGGCUGAACAAGCCCAGCUCCCUCAGCCUGUCUUUGUAGGGGAGGUGCUCCAGUCCCCUAAUCAUCUUCGUGACCAUUCUCUGGAUGCUCUCCAACAGCUCUGUCUUUGCCUCACGAGAGCAGAGUAGAGGGGGACAAUCACCUCCCUGUCCCUGCUGGCCUCCCCUCUUCUGAUGGAGCCCAGGAUACCAUUUGCUUUUUGAGCUGCUCGUGUUAAGUUUCUCAUCCAUCAGGACUCCCUGAUUACUAAAUUUAGUAAUUAAAGAAGUAUUUUGCAGGGAUGUGAUUUUAUUUUUUAAAUUUUUCCCUGAUUCUCCAGAGGUGAGGUAGUUGGACCUUCCAAAAUUGCACGUCUUUCUUGUUUAUGUAAAGUGACUCAGAGCUGCUCCUAUGUGGAAGAGAAGAAUAGAAGUAAAAUGAACUAUAUUGACUUGAGAGUAACAUCUGCAGAACAGAUGUAUGCAGAACAGCUGCAUAAGCCUUUUUGUCAUAUAAACAUCUAAAACCAGAGCAAGAUUUAUCUUAGAAACUUUGUCUGAUAAAGUAAUUAUAUUACAACACCUGCAGUGUUCUUGUAUGCAACAUUCGAGAUAUUAAGUCUUUGUAACACUGAUGCAGACUUUUCUGUCUUUCUCAGGAUCUCUGCAAAUCUGCCUCCUUUUAUUUUGAAAGCAUCUUUUAUAACGAUAGAAGAUAACCAGAGUGCAGAAGUCUUAGCAGAACUGCUAUUGAAUGGUCAGAAUCUCAUGACAGAGGCUAUGGAAAUCCUCAGUCUGUUAAAAUGGAGGACAACGCGUUUAAUGACCCGUCUCUCAAAAUUGCCUUUCCGUAUUCUGCCACCAAGGGAACUGUGAGCACAUUGUUGUCAUCACAGAGAUAAGGCUUAUUCAUUAUGAUUGCCUGGGCAGGAACUUUCAUCCAUUGUUGAUCACGAAACACUGAUUAUGUACCAGAAAAUGCUUUGUAUGCAAAAUGUGUUCAGCCAGAUUAAAUGAUAUUGAGACAAAUUCAGCAGAUGAAGCGUGGAAGCUGAGGAAGGUACAGAUACCAACUGUUUGCCUUCUUUUAAA
This is a non-coding RNA of Meleagris gallopavo (turkey), 1076 nucleotides long. The record is from RefSeq and is a predicted model, not a curated record. Lineage: Eukaryota; Metazoa; Chordata; Aves; Galliformes; Phasianidae.